GUCUCCGUGGCGCAAUUGGUUAGCGCGUUCGACUGUUACCCCAGUUUAGCCUGAUGAUCGAGAGGUUGACAGUUCAAUCCUGUCCGGGGACG
Molecule: transfer RNA, 92 nt
Filed under: Puccinia triticina 1-1 BBBD Race 1
Lineage: Eukaryota; Fungi; Basidiomycota; Pucciniomycetes; Pucciniales; Pucciniaceae
Description: Puccinia triticina tRNA PTTG_20578
Rfam family: tRNA
About the family: Transfer RNA (tRNA) molecules are approximately 80 nucleotides in length. Their secondary structure includes four short double-helical elements and three loops (D, anti-codon, and T loops).
Source: Rfam by way of RNAcentral